This 414-nucleotide ribosomal RNA is filed under the name Escherichia coli. Its description in RNAcentral is "bacterial LSU rRNA". It matches the Rfam family "Bacterial large subunit ribosomal RNA", at positions 2416 to 2834 of the family's 2925-position model. The record is from RNAcentral. Lineage: Bacteria; Pseudomonadati; Pseudomonadota; Gammaproteobacteria; Enterobacterales; Enterobacteriaceae.
UGAUCCGGUGGUUCUGAAUGGAAGGGCCAUCGCUCAACGGAUAAAAGGUACUCCGGGGAUAACAGGCUGAUACCGCCCAAGAGUUCAUAUCGACGGCGGUGUUUGGCACCUCGAUGUCGGCUCAUCACAUCCUGGGGCUGAAGUAGGUCCCAAGGGUAUGGCUGUUCGCCAUUUAAAGUGGUACGCGAGCUGGGUUUAGAACGUCGUGAGACAGUUCGGUCCCUAUCUGCCGUGGACGCUGGAGAACUGAGGGGGGCUGCUCCUAGUACGAGAGGACCGGAGUGGACGCAUCACUGGUGUUCGGGUUGUCAUGCCAAUGGCACUGCCCGGUAGCUAAAUGCGGAAGAGAUAAGUGCUGAAAGCAUCUAAGCACGAAACUUGCCCCGAGAUGAGUUCUCCCUGACUCCUUGAGAG